CUGGUGCACCAGUUGUUCCGCCAGGAGCACAGCUGGGUAGCUAAGUGCGGACGAGAUAAACGCUGAAGGCAUCUAAGCGUGAAACUCACCCUAAGAUGAGAUAUCCCACCAUAAUGGGUAAGACCCCAUGUAGACUACAUGGUUGAUAGGUCGGGGGUGUAAGUAUGGCAACAUAUUUAGCUGACCGAUACUAAUAGGUCGAGGGCUUGACCAAA
This 215-nucleotide ribosomal RNA is filed under the name Clostridiaceae bacterium. RNAcentral's name for it is "partial 23S ribosomal RNA". It matches the Rfam family "Bacterial large subunit ribosomal RNA", at positions 2709 to 2925 of the family's 2925-position model. Lineage: Bacteria; Bacillati; Bacillota; Clostridia; Eubacteriales; Clostridiaceae. The record is from RNAcentral.